This is a long non-coding RNA of Hyla sarda, 279 nucleotides long. RefSeq lists it as uncharacterized. The record is from RefSeq and is a predicted model, not a curated record. The transcript is spliced from 3 exons. NCBI's taxonomy places the organism in Eukaryota, Metazoa, Chordata, Amphibia, Anura, Hylidae.
GAAAGAAGUGUGCAUUGUAAUGUGGUGGCACAGUACAGGAGUUUUCAUCCUGUACACCUGUCCGUCCUGUGUGGUGGCUACCCUUUCAGUGUUCCCCUGGGUCCACAUCCCUCCUGAAGACUCUUACUAUCAUGCUGGGCAGCAUUUCAGAAAUAUGGAAGAAAACAUUCUAUGUUGGACAGUGAUUUAUCGAAUAUUGAUUUAAGUAUUCAAGAAACUCCAGGGGUUCAAAAAAAGUCUGUGAAUGAGGCUUGUGCCCCUACUCCAUCUGCAACUAUG